Molecule: ribosomal RNA, 341 nt
Filed under: Notothenia rossii (marbled rockcod)
Lineage: Eukaryota; Metazoa; Chordata; Actinopteri; Perciformes; Nototheniidae
Description: partial 12S ribosomal RNA
Rfam family: Bacterial small subunit ribosomal RNA
Source: RNAcentral
UAUCCGCCCGGGAACUACGAGCACCAGCUUAAAACCCAAAGGACUUGGCGGUGCUUUAGAUCCUACUAGAGGAGCCUGUUCUAGAACCGAUAACCCCCGUUCAACCUCACCUUUCCUUGUUUUUCCCGCCUAUAUACCGCCGUCGUCAGCCCACCCUAUGAAGGUUUAAAAGUAGGCUUAAUUGGCAUAGCCAGCACGUCAGGCCGAGGUGUAGCGUAUGGAAAGGGAAGAAAUGGGCUACAUUCCCUAAUUUAGGGCACACGAAUGGUGUGCUGAAACGCACAUCUUGAAGGAGGAUUUAGCAGUAAGUAGGAAAUAGAGCGUCCUGCUGAAAUUGGCUC